CCUACGGGGGGCUGCAGUGGGGAAUAUUGGACAAUGGGGGGAACCCUGAUCCAGCCAUGCCGCGUGUGUGAAGAAGGCCCUCGGGUUGUAAAGCACUUUCAGUGAGGAAGAACGCCUGGUGGUUAAUACCCAUCAGGAAAGACAUCACUCACAGAAGAAGCACCGGCUAACUCCGUGCCAGCAGCCGCGGUAAUACGGGGGUGCGAGCGUUAAUCGGAAUUACUGGGCGUAAAGCGCGCGUAGGUGGCUUGAUAAGCCGGUUGUGAAAGCCCCGGGCUCAACCUGGGAACGGCAUCCGGAACUGUCAAGCUAGAGUGCAGGAGAGGAAGGUAGAAUUCCCGGUGUAGCGGUGAAAUGCGUAGAGAUCGGGAGGAAUACCAGUGGCGAAGGCGGCCUUCUGGACUGACACUGACACUGAGGUGCGAAAGCGUGGGUAGCAAACAGGAUUAGAUACCCUUGUAGUC
This 464-nucleotide ribosomal RNA is filed under the name Vreelandella stevensii. Its description in RNAcentral is "partial 16S ribosomal RNA". It matches the Rfam family "Bacterial small subunit ribosomal RNA", at positions 338 to 795 of the family's 1533-position model. Lineage: Bacteria; Pseudomonadati; Pseudomonadota; Gammaproteobacteria; Oceanospirillales; Halomonadaceae. The record is from RNAcentral.